This 427-nucleotide ribosomal RNA is filed under the name uncultured beta proteobacterium. RNAcentral describes it as "bacterial SSU rRNA". It matches the Rfam family "Bacterial small subunit ribosomal RNA", at positions 355 to 774 of the family's 1533-position model. Lineage: Bacteria; Pseudomonadati; Pseudomonadota; Betaproteobacteria. The record is from RNAcentral.
UGGGGAAUUUUGGACAAUGGGCGAAAGCCUGAUCCAGCCAUGCCGCGUGAGUGAAGAAGGCCUUCGGGUUGUAAAGCUCUUUUAGUCGGAAAGAAAGAGUUGCAAUGAAUAAUUGUGAUUUAUGACGGUACUGACAGAAAAAGCACCGGCUAACUACGUGCCAGCAGCCGCGGUAAUACGUAGGGUGCGAGCGUUAAUCGGAAUUACUGGGCGUAAAGCGUGCGCAGGCGGUUAUGCAAGACAGAUGUGAAAGCCCCGGGCUUAACCUGGGAAUUGCGUUUGAAACUACAAGACUAGAGUGCAGCAGAGGGGAGUGGAAUUCCAUGUGUAGCAGUGAAAUGCGUAGAGAUGUGGAAGAACACCGAUGGCGAAGGCAGCUCCCUGGGUUGACACUGACGCUCAUGCACGAAAGCGUGGGGAGCAAACA